GAUGAACGCUGGCGGCGUGCCUAAUACAUGCAAGUCGAGCGAACAGACGAGGAGCUUGCUCCUCUGACGUUAGCGGCGGACGGGUGAGUAACACGUGGAUAACCUACCUAUAAGACUGGGAUAACUUCGGGAAACCGGAGCUAAUACCGGAUAAUAUAUUGAACCGCAUGGUUCAAUAGUGAAAGACGGUUUUGCUGUCACUUAUAGAUGGAUCCGCGCCGCAUUAGCUAGUUGGUAAGGUAACGGCUUACCAAGGCAACGAUGCGUAGCCGACCUGAGAGGGUGAUCGGCCACACUGGAACUGAGACACGGUCCAGACUCCUACGGGAGGCAGCAGUAGGGAAUCUUCCGCAAUGGGCGAAAGCCUGACGGAGCAAUGCCGCGUGAGUGAUGAAGGUCUUCGGAUCGUAAAGCUCUGUUAUUAGGGAAGAACAAUUGUAUAAGUAACUAUGCACGUCUUGACGGUACCUAAUCAGAAAGCCACGGCUAACUACGUG
Molecule: ribosomal RNA, 497 nt
Filed under: uncultured bacterium
Lineage: Bacteria
Description: partial 16S ribosomal RNA
Rfam family: Bacterial small subunit ribosomal RNA
Source: RNAcentral